UACGUAGGGUGCAGGCGUUAAUCGGAAUUACUGGGCGUAAAGGGCGCGUAGGCGGCCUGCUAAGUCGAACGUGAAAUCCCUGGGCUCAACCCAGGAACUGCGUCCGAUACUGGUUGGCUUGAAUCCGGGAGAGGGAUGUGGAAUUCCAGGUGUAGCGGUGAAAUGCGUAGAUAUCUGGAGGAACACCGGUGGCGAAGGCGACAUCCUGGACCGGUAUUGACGCUGAGGCGCGAAAGCCAGGGGAGCAAACGGG
RNAcentral lists this ribosomal RNA (253 nucleotides) under uncultured bacterium. RNAcentral describes it as "partial 16S ribosomal RNA". It matches the Rfam family "Bacterial small subunit ribosomal RNA", at positions 524 to 776 of the family's 1533-position model. The record is from RNAcentral.